This 329-nucleotide non-coding RNA is filed under the name Pongo abelii (Sumatran orangutan). The record is from RNAcentral. Lineage: Eukaryota; Metazoa; Chordata; Mammalia; Primates; Hominidae.
UCUGUAUCAUCAGACUCAUCUAUUUCGGAAAAAUCGGAUUCAUCAAAUGAAUCUUCAACCAACAACUAUUCGAGAAUGAUGUUAACAUCACACAUAGGCAUGCUAUGUUUUCUAGGAUUUGACAUUUUCAGCGAUCAAGAAUUACUGUAUUUUGUAAAUGGAAAUACCACUACUAAAAACAGAAUGCUAUAAAUAGAAUGAUGUCGUUUCCAAAGUUGAUAUACUAGAGCAAUGUGAAAAUAAUAAAAGUGAGAUAUUUUGUGGCAAUGAUUUAAAAAGAUGUUCAGUAGUAUAACAAAAGUACAAAAAUAAAGUGACAAGCAAUUCUA